RNAcentral lists this ribosomal RNA (497 nucleotides) under uncultured bacterium. RNAcentral describes it as "partial 16S ribosomal RNA". It matches the Rfam family "Bacterial small subunit ribosomal RNA", at positions 28 to 507 of the family's 1533-position model. The record is from RNAcentral.
GAUGAACGCUGGCGGCGUGCCUAAUACAUGCAAGUCGAGCGAACGGACGAGAAGCUUGCUUCUCUGAUGUUAGCGGCGGACGGGUGAGUAACACGUGGAUAACCUACCUAUAAGACUGGGAUAACUUCGGGAAACCGGAGCUAAUACCGGAUAAUAUUUUGAACCGCAUGGUUCAAAAGUGAAAGACGGUCUUGCUGUCACUUAUAGAUGGAUCCGCGCUGCAUUAGCUAGUUGGUAAGGUAACGGCUUACCAAGGCAACGAUGCAUAGCCGACCCGAGAGGGUGAUCGGCCAGACGGGAACUGAGACACGGUCCAGACUCCGACGGGAGGCAGCAGUAGGGAAUCUUCCGCAAUGGGCGAAAGCCUGACGGAGCAACGCCGCGUGAGUGAUGAAGGUCUUCGGAUCGUAAAACUCUGUUAUUAGGGAAGAACAUAUGUGUAAGUAACUGUGCACAUCUUGACGGUACCUAAUCAGAAAGCCACGGCUAACUACGUG